AAAAAACGGAGGAAAUUGUGCCACGAUUUUGGUCGAAGUAAAUAAGCAGGUUUCCAACUGUUUUCUCUUCGAGCGUUCGAUAGAGAAGAAAGGUUAUGCGUUUGCGAUAGAGGUCACUUCCCUCGUCGGAAGAGAGAUCUGAACUCCAAAUCCCUGAGAGAUUAUAAAUUCGAAAGGUAAGGAAGGUGGACGAAAGCAGGGUGAUGGCAUCCUAAGAUUAAAAACGGCGAAAAGAGGAGUAGGAAGAAGUGCAGAGUGGAUUUGGAAAAUGUAGCAGAGGAAAUCAUCUACAACAUCCUGGUGAACAUCCCGGCCCGCACACUCUAUGAUUUGAGGCCASUCUGCAAGCUUUGGUAUAAWCUCAUGGAGUAUCCAGAGUUCUACUGUUAGCCAAAGUUAUAGCCUGAUUUGUAAUGUAGAUAAUCAAGAAAGAGAAAAGAGAAUAUAAGGACAGAAGAGAUUCAGGGGUUUCAAAUAAUAGAGAUGGUUUAGUUGUUGUAAAUGAGAAACUCAACGAGUGCAAGUCAAGGAAAUUUUCACUAUCUAAGGGUGUAUUGAAGACUUUGAAUCAUUUUGAAAGAUUUGAGAGAGAUAUGAAAGUGCUUUUGCUUAAUAAGGUUUAUGUUGUAAAUGUUGUAGGUAUUGUUUUAUCAUCUUCAGUCCUACAGUUUAUUGUGUACUGCAUAUGUCUGAAGGAUGAGAUAAGAAGUUGCAAAAUGUUUAUUCACAAAUUUCCCAUGCUCUUGAUAUUAUUUUAUCUAUUUUUGGUUACAUAUGUUGCUAGAUUUGACGAGGGUGUUCAAUUUUCAAGAACCUACUCCCAGCUAUUUGUCAUAUUGGCUUCUUGUUAUAACUUCAUGUGGACCAAGCUGGAUUAGCUUUUAGACAUUUUUACUGAUUUUCAAGGGGAAAAUUUUCUAAGAGAUGAGAGUGAUGUAACCCAUGGGGGGCUGCAUGGUACAGCAGCCUAACUCCAACCCCAAGGUGGGAACUCCUAAGCCCUUGAGGUUGAUAAAUUCAAUGUGCCUGCUGUAUUUAUUCUUCUAACCAUCUAUGGAAUCAUGGAUAGGGGAGUACAUUCUUUCCUUUAGGAAGAGGGAGAAAGGGAGAGAGAGGUAUGGCUUAAUAAUUCCCUUUCACCCAUUGAACAAUGGUCCCUGUAAUAGGCAUAAACUUUACAAUUGUAAUGUUCAGUAUACCUCUGGGAUAGCCACUUGCUAGUGACUUCUUUCAUCUAGCUUUUUUUACUGUUUGCUUUCCCUUUUGGGAAUUUAUUUUAUCUACUUAAGCUUUGGGCUUAGAUGUAAUCAUAUUUUUUAACUCCCAUAAACAUGGAAACGGCCGUGAUGGCCUUGAGAGUGUACACAGAUUUUGUUGUGUAACAUUUUCAAGAGGCUAUUGAGAAGAACAUCAUGGCCAUUGGAUUCUUUUAUUUCUAGACUUUGAUGUAUGCGGGAUGGUUUAUGUCACUAAUUUUUUUUUUUUUUGUUCCUUUAUGUGGAAGCUCCAUAGUUCCUAUUCAAAAAGAAUAGUUGUCAUUGGCGUGAAGAAGAGAGAGAAACUAGCUUACUUGGUAGAAGAGACCGUUGUAUUUGCAUUGAUGGUAGGAGUAGCUGGUUGUUUUCAUGUUGCUAUUUUUUACCAAGGUGCCUGUUCUAUGCCUAUUGUAUGCCCGGGCUGCUUGUUAUUUUUUAUAUUUGUUUAAUGGUGGGAGUAGCUGGAACACCAUUUGGUAGAAGAGACCGUUGUAUUUGCAUUGAUGGUAGGAGUAGCUGGUUGUUUUUAUGUUGCUAUUUUUUACCAAGGUGCCUGUUCUAUGCCUAUUGUAUGCCCGGGCAGCUUGUUAUUUUUUAUAUUUGUUUAAUGGUGGGAGUAGCUGGAACACCAUUUGGUAGCAAGAAACAGUUGUAUUUGCAUUGAUAGAAAUGCCAAACAUCCACAAAAAUUGUAUUCUUA
This is a long non-coding RNA of Nelumbo nucifera (sacred lotus), 1956 nucleotides long. RefSeq lists it as uncharacterized. Lineage: Eukaryota; Viridiplantae; Streptophyta; Magnoliopsida; Proteales; Nelumbonaceae. The record is from RefSeq and is a predicted model, not a curated record.